CUCCCAACCUCAGGUGAUCCACCCACCUCAGCCUCCCAAAGUGCUGGGAUUACAGGCAUGACCCACCCUGCCCAGCUCUGGAAGCCUUUCUGUAUCACUCUUGUUGCAAAUAAGAUAAUUCAUUUUGGGGAUACAUUCAAAUAAAUGACAUGAAGAUGAAAUUGUCUUUCUGUUUGUCCUAUUCUCAGAUAAGACGUGUGGCCCCUUAGUUUUCUGUGGUGGUUUUAUGUGAUUAAAUUUGUUUUUGAAAGAGUUUCUGAAUAUAUUACUUGUUCUGUUAUGCACAUUUUAUAAAUUAGCACUUUCUUCAUGACUGCAGUUGUAAACACUUUCUCAUUUGCAUUAUAUGUUCAUUUAACAGUGAGCGUGUGUUUAACUGCCAAGAUAAGUUUUUUUGUUUUUGUUUUUUCUUUUUUUUUCCAUAAAAUCCAGAUUCUGCAAAACUUGGGGAUUUUUUGGUUUUGCUUUGAGAUGGAGUCUCCCUCUGUCACUCAGGCUGGAGUCCAGGGGUGCAACCUCUGCUCACUGCAACCUCUGCCACCUCACCUGGCUGUCAUGAGGGAUUAUUAAUAGAUGCUUUUAGAUAGUCCUCUCUAGUGUCAUUGAUAAUUGGUCAUACCAUGGGUCUACAUGGAAUUUCUUUUCUUUCCUUUUUUUUUUUUUAAGGUGUGCACUUUCAUUCAACUGCUGUCAAGUCAGUGUACAGUCCACCAGGGUCUGUGGCAAAGUGGCAUCAUGAACAGGGACUUCAAGGACGUGAAUGAAGAAGGUCUGCUGGAGCAGAGGAAGUGAAGCUAACAAGAUGAACGAGGACCUAGGGACAAAUCUGCCAGCAGGGAGUAUAAGGAGAUGGACAAACCAUUUGGGUGUCCUCAAGGUGCAUGCAACCAUGGAACAGGAGACUGGAGGGAUCCAUGGCGGCCAACCAUGGGCCUGGUCCCUCCGGUAUGGGCCAUGAGCCAGCUGAGCCUGAGUGUGAAGAUGGAGAAAAGGCUGACCGGAGUCACGAGGACAUCAAACCCCAUAACCUGAGGGCAACUCAAGAAAACCACGCAGGAAGCUGAGAAAAUGCUGGAGCGUCAGGGCCAGGCAAAAACCCCUGAAUCCAUGUUCUUGGCCAUGUUAGCCAUAAUGUCCUGUGUGGUAUGUUUUCUCUCUGCAGAGGCAAAAACAUAUUGGGCAUAUGUUUCUAAUCCCCUAGUAGUAUGGCUUGUACUUUGGAGUGGCACUCCCCCUGAGAUCUAUCAUGAUCAGGGAGCAUGGGCUCCAGGACCUCUAACUCCUCCUGACAUAGAACAGUUAGACUCUCAGAACAAUGUCAUCAAUUAUAUGGCCCCACUGGAAGGACUCCCCUGGUGUAUCACUACAAAGAUAUUGCUCAACUGUAGUAGCUGUCUUACAAUUCAAGCUCAAGCAUGGUUGAGUCACCAUGGAAAAGUCAUGUGCUUAUUAGGUCUUAGUUCUAUUAAUGUAACUGGUGUGCUAACCAACCAUUCCCGGCCCAAUCACCCCAAUUGUGUUGACUAUAUGGAAUGGAUUCCCUUCAAUAGUUCCUACCCCGCUCCAUGGACCCAAUGUCUUGGCCCACUGGCUAGAAAACAAUCUAUGUUAACUGAAGACAUUGUGACUUGGGGACCUAAAGGUCAACUAGAUGGUAAAGAUAAAAUCAGACAUCAUGGCACAAACUUCACUGUCAUUGGUAGCAGACUUUCAAUGCUUCUUCUUUACACCACACCAGGAUCCAAUCCCAUUCUGCUGCCAGGGUUGCUUGGCAUGGAACAGGCUUUAUCCCGCCUCUUCUUCAGUGGCAAUAUCUAGGUAGGAAAGGUCCAAUUCAAGAAACAAUAUGGAAAGCAGCAGUCCCAUUUACAAAUGGUACUAUCUGGGUAGGGGUACUCUCUAAUACUAGUACUGCUACUCGACACAGUUUUGAUGUUACAUUUGUAAAGAGUAUCACCACUAAAUUUACGGUUUGUGUUUUUAAUCCUUAUGUCUUUAUGGCAGCUAAGAAGGACCAGCUCCAGGUAAACAAUACCCAAUUGACCUGUAAAUCUUGUCAGUUAUAUCACUGCAUUAAUCAUAGCACAUUGCAAACACAUCUCUACCUUGAUAAUUAUGGGUCGCAUCCCUGGGAUAUGGAUUCCUGUUAAUCUGUCAGAGCCUUGGGCCUCCACCCCUGCUUUGCACUUCAUGAAACUUCUAACUCAGCUUACUCAUUGUACCCGUAAAGUCUUAGGCAUGAUAAUUUUUGCUAUUAUUUCCUUGGUCACACUAAUAACUUCUGUAGUAAUGUCCUCUGUAGCUUUGCAUAGUUCUGUUCAAACAGCUCAGUACGUGGAGAACUAGACAUGUACCACCAAGAAAAUAUGGCUACUUCAGAGUAAAAUUAACACUGAGUUACAAACUGAAGUGGCAAUGUUGAAAUCCAUGGUUCCAUGGUUAGGGCAACAAGUACAAAGCUUACAAUUGCAACAGCAAUUGUGCUGUCAUUUUAAUCACACUCAUAUUUGUGUAACCAACUUAGAAUAUAACCAAAGUGAGUAUCCAUGGGACCUUGUGAAAGCCCAUUUGCAGGGAGCUUUCACAUCCAAUAUCGCCUUUGAUAUUGGUGAAUUAUGAAACAAAAUUAUUGGUUUAAAUAAGCAAACUCAAGAGUUUCAGCCUUCUUUAGAAGCCUGGACCAAAUUCCAGUGAGGUCUGGAGAGCCUCAAUCCUUGGACCUAUCUAAAGCGCCACAUUAACAUCUCAUGUAUAGUUCUGGGAAUAAUGCUGUUCUGUCUUUGUUUUCUGUUCAUAGUCUAUAAAAUUGGAUGGACUGCCAAUCAGAAAAUGAGAGCUGCCCAACCUGGCCUUACAUUCAUUCAAUUAAUGCAAAAACAGAAAGGGGGAGAUAUUGGGAGCUGAAAACCUGAGGGUCAUGACCAACUCAGCAUUCCAUUGGAGGCUAUAUGAUCAAACAGCAAACUGUUUAUCAUGAAUGCAGGAUGUGGGCAAACUCACAUCUGUGCCUGCCACCAGAAGGUAGGCUGAGGGCAAUCACUCCCUGGCACUGUGCACCUUGAGGUUAUCUACUGGAAUAUCUGGAGCCUACUGUUCAAGGAAAGCAGACAUGCAGGCCUGCACUAAAUCAUGCAACUGGCUCAUGAUCACCUGCUCCUCCCUAUUUCCUUUACUCAAUAAAUACAAAGGGCUCUAGAAGCUCAGGGCCCUUGUUCACUAGAAGCAAGGAGCCCCCUGACCCCUUCUUUUAAAACAGAUCUUUUUAUCUUUGUCUUUAUUCCUGUGUUCAUCCUCCUUUGCUCAGUCCUCUGGGGUCUGUGGCAGAAGAUAAAAAACACUAUUACAUGAGAUUUUCCACCUUUUCAUUGUCUAUCCAUUUAUUCACAUUUUCAUUUAUUCUCAGAGAAGGAACUGUUUUAAUUCCUUUUAAACGUUUUUAUUUAGUGUUCUUUGUAAAGUUUUCUGUACUUUUCUUUCUAGAUUAUAUCCUUUUUUACUUUCUUUUCAAAAUACUUUCUAAAUAAAAUACCUACCAAUUCUAAAUAA
Long non-coding RNA from Homo sapiens (human), 3546 nucleotides. RefSeq lists it as uncharacterized. Lineage: Eukaryota; Metazoa; Chordata; Mammalia; Primates; Hominidae. The record is from RefSeq and is a predicted model, not a curated record. The transcript is spliced from 3 exons.